Molecule: ribosomal RNA, 739 nt
Filed under: uncultured Gemmatimonadota bacterium
Lineage: Bacteria; Pseudomonadati; Gemmatimonadota
Description: bacterial SSU rRNA
Rfam family: Bacterial small subunit ribosomal RNA
Source: RNAcentral
CAAGUCACGGGGGGUCCCGCAAGGGACAACCGGCGAACGGGUGCGUAACACGUGAACAACCUGCCCUCGUGUGGGGGAUAGCCGGGCUAACGCCCGGGUAAUACCGCAUACGUUCCUCGAGAGGAGUCUCUUGGGGAGGAAAGCUCCGGCGCACGGGGAGGGGUUCGCGGCCUAUCAGCUAGUUGGCGGGGUAAUGGCCCACCAAGGCGACGACGGGUAGCUGGUCUGAGAGGAUGGCCAGCCACAUUGGGACUGAGAGACAGCCCAGACUCCUACGGGAGGCAGCAGUGGGGAAUCUUGCGCAAUGGUCGAAAGACUGACGCAGCGACGCCGCGUGUGGGAGGACGCCUUUCGGGGUGUAAACCACUGUUGCCCGGGACGAACUGGUCGAUUCAUCGACCGUGACGGUACCGGGUGAGGAAGCACCGGCUAACUCCGUGCCAGCAGCCGCGGUAAUACGGAGGGUGCGAGCGUUGUCCGGAAUCAUUGGGCGUAAGGGGCGCGUAGGUGGCCCGGUCAGUUCGUGGUGAAAGCGCGGGGCUCAACCCUGCGUCGGCCAUGAAUACUGCCGCGGCUGGAGCACUGUAGAGGCAGGCGGAAUUCCGGGUGUAGCGGUGGAAUGCGUAGAGAUCCGGAAGAACACCGGUGGCGAAGGCGGCCUGCUGGGCAGUUGCUGACACUGAGGCGCGACAGCGUGGGGAGCAAAGAGGAUUAGAUACCCUGGUAGUCCACGCCGUUA